Molecule: ribosomal RNA, 441 nt
Filed under: Rhizobium sp. EF66
Lineage: Bacteria; Pseudomonadati; Pseudomonadota; Alphaproteobacteria; Hyphomicrobiales; Rhizobiaceae
Description: bacterial SSU rRNA
Rfam family: Bacterial small subunit ribosomal RNA
Source: RNAcentral
AGAGUUUGAUCCUGGCUCAGCAGAGUUUGACCUGGCUCAGAACGAACGCUGGCGGCAGGCUUAACACAUGCAAGUCGAACGCCCCGCAAGGGGAGUGGCAGACGGGUGAGUAACGCGUGGGAACAUACCCUUUCCUGCGGAAUAGCUCCGGGAAACUGGAAUUAAUACCGCAUACGCCCUACGGGGGAAAGAUUUAUCGGGGAAGGAUUGGCCCGCGUUGGAUUAGCUAGUUGGUGGGGUAAAGGCCUACCAAGGCGACGAUCCAUAGCUGGUCUGAGAGGAUGAUCAGCCACAUUGGGACUGAGACACGGCCCAAACUCCUACGGGAGGCAGCAGUGGGGAAUAUUGGACAAUGGGCGCAAGCCUGAUCCAGCCAUGCCGCGUGAGUGAUGAAGGCCUUAGGGUUGUAAAGCUCUUUCACCGGAGAAGAUAAUGACGGUA